This is a small nucleolar RNA of Cebus imitator (Panamanian white-faced capuchin), 136 nucleotides long. Its record names the gene SNORA70. It matches the Rfam family "Small nucleolar RNA SNORA70". From Rfam's summary of the family: snoRNA U70 seems to be exclusive to mammals and is a member of the H/ACA class of snoRNA which contain H (ANANNA) and ACA box motifs. H/ACA box snoRNAs are involved in the conversion of uridines to pseudouridines (5-ribosyluracil) a constituent of structural RNAs (transfer, ribosomal, small nuclear, and small nucleolar). Lineage: Eukaryota; Metazoa; Chordata; Mammalia; Primates; Cebidae. The record is from Ensembl.
CUGCAGCCAAUUAAGCCGACUGGGCUCCUUUCCUCAUGGGGGCCCAGUGUGCAAGGGCUGCAAACAGCAGCUUCCUUGGUAGUGUAAUGCAGUCUAUUUCUUGCAUAGGUUGCUCCAAGGGACCUUGGAGACGGGG